CCCCCACUUCCCCCGAACCGCUCGUCUCCACUCCCCCCUCACUCCCCGAUCCCCCUUGGAUCGGGAUCGAUCCCGUCGUCGCUCACCACCCUGUCGCCCUCGUCGCCGGUGGCUCGGUCGCCACCCCGCCACCUCGACCGCCUCCUCGCUGGACCCUGCGCCCCAUCCUGUUCACCUGCCGCGCCGAAGCCCCACCACCACCGCCGCGCUCGCGCUCAGGGAUCCGCCGCCUCAUCAUCAUCUCAUCCCCGCCGCCCGAAGCUCCUCCGCCACGCCCUCGACGCCACCCCGAACCGCCGUCGCCGAGCGCCCUUCGUCGGAGCUCCUCCGUUGCCGAUGGAUCUCGCGUCCCCGUCCUCCUCCACAACGACGUCCACAAGCCACGCCGACCCCCCUUCUCAGCAACGCUACUAUGAGACCGACGCCGCUGCUACCCAGUACGACUACAGAGUUGACGACCUCUCCUUCUUGCCAAAGCAACCAGACUUUGGAGCCCAGGAGCUAGACGCCACCGUCGACGAUGACUACUACACUGGAGGUGCCUACUACUACGUGCAGGCUGCUGACGAUGACCAGGAGUAGUUAGGAGGAUCCCAGGCAGGAGGCAUGCCCCUCUUUCGAUCUGUAUCCCAGUUUGUGCUAGCCUUCUUAAGGCAAACUUGUUUAACUUAUGUCUGUACUCAGAUAUUGUUGCUUCCACUGACUCGUCUAUGAUCGAGCACUUGUAUUCGAGCCCUCGAGGCCCCUGGCUUGUAUUAUGAUGCUUGUAUGACUUAUUUAUGUUUUAGAGUUGUGUUGUGAUAUCUU
This 807-nucleotide ribosomal RNA is filed under the name Triticum aestivum (bread wheat). Its description in RNAcentral is "partial small subunit ribosomal RNA". The record is from RNAcentral. Lineage: Eukaryota; Viridiplantae; Streptophyta; Magnoliopsida; Poales; Poaceae.